UUUGGUAGUGUUAUCGACUCGACUCAGGUGAGGCCUGAAAGGUCUCGUCCAUCGAGGUCGUCUAGCCGUGGUCCUCGCUCUAGUACCCAAGGAAACGCCGAGCUGAUCCGGAUGCAGGAAGCUUUGAGGCGGCAGGAGGAGUAUAACAAGCAACAACAAGAGUACUGGGCUGCUCAAUUUGCACGACAGCAGGAGAUGAUGCAGCAAAUAGCACUAGGGCAACGUCCAGAUUUUUCAGCGAUGACUAUGCCACCUCCUCCACCUAUCCCGCAGUUUGUACCGACUCCACAAUUUAGUUGGCCCACACCUGCACCUCAGGUUAUAUUACUUGACUUUUUCUUUUGACGUUGCAUAACAAGA
RNAcentral lists this unclassified non-coding RNA (360 nucleotides) under Zea mays. RNAcentral's name for it is "misc RNA Zm00001eb159480". The record is from RNAcentral. Lineage: Eukaryota; Viridiplantae; Streptophyta; Magnoliopsida; Poales; Poaceae.